GUAGUUACAAAUUGUGCCCCCAAUUUUACAAUUUUUCUUUUUUUAAAUACUUUUAAAUAAUUUACUCUUUUUUCCCAAAUUCCUCUCCAUUAUUAAUUUAAAAAUUAAUCUCAAAUUUAUCAACUAUACAUUUCUCGAUUAAAUCUAAUUCAGAGAAAAAUAACAUUAAAAUUAUUGCCCACACUUUUAUUAUAAAUUUAUACGCUUCUGCUUGCACAUUCGAAAUGUGUGUUGCGAUUCCGCCGCGAAAUGUCAUAACUUUUGCAUUGAAAACAUUCACGUUGUCAUGGUUCGUUAUAGUAAAAUAAUUUCUAAAUUUGAAAAUACUAUACGGGAAGUUAAAUACGAAACAAUUAGUGUGAGAAAAAAAAUGGAAAAUAUUCAAUUUCAAUCAAGAAAUUUCGAUGAGUGAAAAAUGCCUCGUGUCACUGUAUAUGUGAUGACAAAGAUUCAAUUAACUUUUGAGAGAAAAGGAUGAAAAAAAGAAAUAAAUCUCGUGAUUUCGUAAAGAAACAACUUCAUAUGACAAUAACAACAGAAAAUAAAUAAAUAAACAACUAGGAAAAUUAACAACAGAAAAAAAUGCAAAAAUGGUUAUUAUUUAAAAUAUAAAAAAUGGAAUAAGUGAAAAAUAAAGAAGAGUGUAUUUUUUUAUUAUCACAAGAGGCAAGGUGUGAUGAGACAAAGAGAGUUUAUGUAUAAUAAGUCUUUCGAGAGUAAAACCGAUAUGAACAAUAAGAAUGUGAUAUGAUGGGGAAUAUGUUUGUGUACGUAUAGUAAAACCACAUUUCAGCGCAAGAAUACAGAGGAAAAUAUUUCAGGAGAGAAAUAUUUUUUUUUCGUAUGUACUUCUAAAAAUUCACGGUUGAAAAAGAUAAUUAUACUGAUGGUCAUUUUAAUCGUAAUAUUAAAGUGAAUAAUUGAGGAAAGAACGCGAAAAAUGAUUUGACGAUUCAUAAACGAUGAUUCAACAAAUAAAUUGAGAGGCAAUGGAAAAAAAUUGGACAAUCGCAAAAAAGGAGUGGUGUUUCAAGUCUCUGGAUAAAAUCUGGUGGUGGAGGUGCGAGAACGGCACGCGACACUUGCUGGCUAUGAACCCUAGAUAUAUACAUAUAUGCUUGUCCCAAGAGUGUAUUGCUCUUUGUAAAUGUAUACAUAAUGAGAGGUGGGCGCGAAUAAAGCAAAGAAAAUCUUGGGAGGAUUGAAUUGCGCCGUGGCAGCAGCCAUCGUCCUCGGUGACAGCGGCUCUUUGUAUGAGAAAGUCAGAAGGAAUCGUGAUACGUGUUGAUAGAAUCAAGAGAAGGGGGAGGAAAUUGGGAUUUUUGGAUUCGAAAAUUUUGAGAAUACUGGAUUGUCGAUUACAAUGGAAAGGAGAUAAAAAUAAAAUCUCGAAUUUAAAGCCUAAUUGAUUCGUUGUCACGAUUGUCAAAGGAAAUAAGUGUUGAACACUUACUUCAAGCACUAGGUCAGUGUCUGUACUUUCUCUCGCAAAUACACCAAACGAGAGCCAAGGUCCAUGCAGGAUAACCGGAAGAAAUGAAAAUUUACCUCAAGGUCUCGUCUUUAGAAAACAUCCCUAUUUGUUAAAAAUUCAACGAGCGAUACAAUUAGCAAAAAAAAGCGACAUAACCAGAAAUCAGCGGAAUUAUCAGAAUGAUAACCGACAAAAGGUGUUGCCAGAGCGUCUGCGACCUGUCCAAUUAAUAAAAUAACACCAGCCAUUAGAGGACUGAAGCCUAAAACUAGGUGAAAAUACAC
Molecule: RNA transcript, 1758 nt
Organism: Leptopilina heterotoma
Lineage: Eukaryota; Metazoa; Arthropoda; Insecta; Hymenoptera; Figitidae
Exons: 6
Source: RefSeq, a predicted model, not a curated record